GAAGCCUUUCGGGGUGGAUUAGUGGCGAACGGGUGAGUAACACGUGGGCAAUCUGCCCUUCACUCUGGGACAAGCCCUGGAAACGGGGUCUAAUACCGGAUAACACUCUGUCCUGCAUGGGACGGGGUUAAAAGCUCCGGCGGUGAAGGAUGAGCCCGCGGCCUAUCAGCUUGUUGGUGGGGUAAUGGCCUACCAAGGCGACGACGGGUAGCCGGCCUGAGAGGGCGACCGGCCACACUGGGACUGAGACACGGCCCAGACUCCUACGGGAGGCAGCAGUGGGGAAUAUUGCACAAUGGGCGAAAGCCUGAUGCAGCGACGCCGCGUGAGGGAUGACGGCCUUCGGGUUGUAAACCUCUUUCAGCAGGGAAGAAGCGAAAGUGACGGUACCUGCAGAAGAAGCGCCGGCUAACUACGUGCCAGCAGCCGCGGUAAUACGUAGGGCGCAAGCGUUGUCCGGAAUUAUUGGGCGUAAAGAGCUCGUAGGCGGCUUGUCACGUCGGAUGUGAAAGCCCGGGGCUUAACCCCGGGUCUGCAUUCGAUACGGGCUAGCUAGAGUGUGGUAGGGGAGAUCGGAAUUCCUGGUGUAGCGGUGAAAUGCGCAGAUAUC
Molecule: ribosomal RNA, 610 nt
Filed under: Streptomyces sp. SCAUEA36
Lineage: Bacteria; Bacillati; Actinomycetota; Actinomycetes; Kitasatosporales; Streptomycetaceae
Description: bacterial SSU rRNA
Rfam family: Bacterial small subunit ribosomal RNA
Source: RNAcentral